GUGCGUGCCUGCGCGCGUGUGUGUGGAUAAAAUCCUCAACAAGUUGCAGAAGGGGAAGGGAGAGGAGGGGUUAAUCCUGGGGAAUCUUCUGCACCUAGUGAGAUCGUGACCCUCCCACACAGUACAGUAACUUAUAUACAUACCUGGAGGAAGGGAGGCUUUGCUUUUGGGCUUUCUUUAAAAAAAAAAAACAAACAACCAAAAAAAAACCCCCAAAACCCCCCAAACCCCAAACCCAACCCAAAACACUGUUGGUGGCGGUUGCACCCCGCGCGGGACUCCCCGGAGCGGCCAGGGACGCGCCCCGCCAGGGGCGGCCACGCCGUCGGAGGCCGGAGGCGCCGCGGGAAGCAGCGAGGGAGGCCCGCAGGGAGUGCGGCAUAGCCCCUGUUCUGGACAGAAGGACGGCCGUCCAAGGGAAGCAAGCAUCACCUCUCAGUUUGGCCACCUUCCAUGCGAUGGAGCACUGUAGCUGAGUGGUGGGUUGACUUAGGCUUGCAUCACCGCCCUGAAGCAGAUUGCAUCUGCAGUCAUCUGGAACUGACUACAUGCCUGAACUGAUGAAAGAUGCUGUGGAAACGUGGAUCUCCGGGGCCUCGGCAAGAUGCUUUUGCCGUAUCCCGUCUCUUUAUUGCCUGGUCCUCUGGAAGACAAAAGAGUGAGAAUCAGGGGUGUGUCGUUAUCCUGCGAACAGUUUGAGAACUGCUUUGACAGCCGAUAGAAGAAGAUAAUGUGAUGUGGCCACCGCAAGCGCAUGCUCUUUCUAACAGUUUACAGUUGCACUAUGAUCCUAAUGAGGAGCGAUGCUCAAACCUCCCUCUGAUUAUGUGUUCUUUUCUCAUACUGUAACAAUAUUGUUUCUUUCCAACACACAAGCGUUCAUGCAAAAAUGCCAAAAUUCUCCAUGCAGAUUAAAGUAGGUUUACAAAUUAAGGAAAGGCUGGUGUGGAGCAAAAGGAAAAUUAAAUUAUCCUAGCAAUUUUGCACUUCCUUGUAAUCAAAGUCCUGUCUUUGGAAGGUGUUAUGUAGGAUACACACUUGGUGAGGCCUGUGAGAAUUUUCCUUGUGUCAAGACAGCAGGAGUUAGCCCUAGCAAAUCACACGCUUGUAAAAAUGGUGGCCAGUAAGCAAUAGGUGGGCUCUCUUGGGGAAGAGCAGGAAGAAACCUUGGUGAGAGCUUGAUCCUCUGCAGUGUCACCUUUCACAACCGACUGACUGACAAACAAAAGAAAAGGGGAGCUAGAUCACUGUGAGGAUGGACACCUCCUUUUGUGUAACAGAAUGAAAUCCAGUGAUGUGCUCCCUCCCACUAGAUCUGAUACAACUGCUGUAUGAUAAAGAUUAAUUUCUAAAAAUCAAGUGUAAACCUAUAGGUCAGCCAGUAAGACAGUGACUUGACAAAUUUUUCAUUGCAAGCUGUGUGAUAGUUUCAUGCCUUUAAUCUGCAUUGCUGCAGAUGGUGUGUUGUUGAAUCCAGUGAAGUUUGAAUCCCACCAUGAAUUUGUUUUCCGCAAGUAGAUUAUGAACAGAAACCUUUGAUUUCUAUUAAUUAUAUAUCUCAGUGAAAAGCUUGUGUGUGUGUAUAUAUAUAUAUCUUUAAUAACAGGAAAUGUAACAAACAUUUAUUUUUAUUAAAUUAAUAAAAGAGAUAAACCUAUCAAA
Molecule: long non-coding RNA, 1662 nt
Organism: Harpia harpyja (harpy eagle)
Lineage: Eukaryota; Metazoa; Chordata; Aves; Accipitriformes; Accipitridae
Exons: 5
Source: RefSeq, a predicted model, not a curated record